Molecule: transfer RNA, 72 nt
Filed under: Camelus bactrianus (Bactrian camel)
Lineage: Eukaryota; Metazoa; Chordata; Mammalia; Artiodactyla; Camelidae
Also listed under: 2 other names
Rfam family: tRNA
About the family: Transfer RNA (tRNA) molecules are approximately 80 nucleotides in length.
Source: Rfam by way of RNAcentral
GAGGGUAUAACUUAGUGGUAGAGUACCUGCUUAGCAUGCAUGUGAUCCUGCAUUCAAUCCCCAGUACCUCUG